RNAcentral lists this ribosomal RNA (450 nucleotides) under uncultured bacterium. RNAcentral describes it as "partial 16S ribosomal RNA". It matches the Rfam family "Bacterial small subunit ribosomal RNA", at positions 338 to 795 of the family's 1533-position model. The record is from RNAcentral.
CCUACGGGGGGCUGCAGUGAGGAAUAUUGGGCAAUGGGCGCAAGCCUGACCCAGCCAUGCCGCGUGAAGGAUGAAUGCCCUAUGGGUUGUAAACUUCUUUUGUAUGGAACGAAACUCUUGGUCGUGACCAGGAUUGACUGUACCGUACGAAUAAGCAUCGGCUAACUCCGUGCCAGCAGCCGCGGUAAUACGGAGGAUGCAAGCGUUAUCCGGAUUCAUUGGGUUUAAAGGGUGAGUAGGCGGCAGAGUAGAAAGCCUGCGGCUUAACCGUAGAAUUGCCAUUGAUACUGUUAUUCUUGAGUAUAGUUGAGGUGGGCGGAAUGUGUAAUGUAGCGGUGAAAUGCUUAGAUAUUACACAGAACACCAAUUGCGAAGGCAGCUCACUAAGCUGUUACUGACGCUGAGGCACGAAAGCGUGGGGAGCAAACAGGAUUAGAUACCCUUGUAGUC